UACCAGACUCCUACGGGAGGCAGCAGUGGGGGAUAUUGCACAAUGGGGGGAACCCUGAUGCAGCGACGCCGCGUGAGGGAAGACGGCCUUCGGGUUGUAAACCUCUGUCGCAGGGGACGAAGGAGAUGACGGUACCUGGGGAGGAAGCUCCGGCUAACUACGUGCCAGCAGCCGCGGUAAUACGUAGGGAGCGAGCGUUGUCCGGAAUUACUGGGUGUAAAGGGAGCGUAGGCGGGGAUGCAAGUUGGGUGUCAAAACUACCGGCUCAACUGGUAGUCGCACUCAAAACUGCAGCUCUUGAGUGAAGUAGAGGCAGGCGGAAUUCCUAGUGUAGCGGUGAAAUGCGUAGAUAUUAGGAGGAACACCAGUGGCGAAGGCGGCCUGCUGGGCUUUUACUGACGCUGAGGCUCGAAAGUGUGGGGAGCAAACAGGAUUAGAUACCCCCGUAA
This 449-nucleotide ribosomal RNA is filed under the name uncultured bacterium. RNAcentral describes it as "bacterial SSU rRNA". It matches the Rfam family "Bacterial small subunit ribosomal RNA", at positions 329 to 793 of the family's 1533-position model. The record is from RNAcentral.